Molecule: ribosomal RNA, 497 nt
Filed under: uncultured bacterium
Lineage: Bacteria
Description: partial 16S ribosomal RNA
Rfam family: Bacterial small subunit ribosomal RNA
Source: RNAcentral
GAUGAACGCUGGCGGCGUGCCUAAUACAUGCAAGUCGAGCGAACAGACGAGGAGCUUGCUCCUCUGACGUUAGCGGCGGACGGGUGAGUAACACGUGGAUAACCUACCUAUAAGACUGGGAUAACUUCGGGAAACCGGAGCUAAUACCGGAUAAUAUAUUGAACCGCAUGGUUCAAUAGUGAAAGACGGUUUUGCUGUCACUUGUAGAUGGAUCCGCGCCGCAUUAGCUAGUUGGUAAGGUAACGGCUUACCAAGGCGACGAUGCGUAGCCGACCUGAGAGGGUGAUCGGCCACACUGGAACUGAGACACGGUCCAGACUCCUACGGGAGGCAGCAGUAGGGAAUCUUCCGCAAUGGGCGAAAGCCUGGCGGAGCAACGCCGCGUGAGUGAUGAAGGUCUUCGGAUCGUAAAACUCUGUUAUUAGGGAAGAACAAAUGUGUAAGUAACUAUGCACGUCUUGACGGUACCUAAUCAGAAAGCCACGGCUAACUACGUG